This 388-nucleotide ribosomal RNA is filed under the name Hepatozoon felis. Its description in RNAcentral is "SSU rRNA". It matches the Rfam family "Eukaryotic small subunit ribosomal RNA", at positions 566 to 952 of the family's 1831-position model. Lineage: Eukaryota; Apicomplexa; Hepatozoidae. The record is from RNAcentral.
UCCAGCAGCCGCGGUAAUUCCAGCUCCAAUAGCGUAUAUUAAAAUUGUUGCAGUUAAAAAGCUCGUAGUUGAAUUUCUGCUAAAAAUAACCGGUCUGCUUUUAAUAAAGGUGGUAUCUUGGUGUGUUUUUAGCAAUAAUGUCCUUUGAAAUGUUUUUUACUUCAUUGUAAUAAAUUAUAUUUAGGAUUUUUACUUUGAGAAAAUUAGAGUGUUUCUAGCAGGCUAAUGCUUUGAAUACUGCAGCAUGGAAUAAUAAAAUAGGAUUUUGGUUCUACAUUAUUGGUUUUAAGAGCUAAAUUAAUGAUUGAUAGGGACAGUUGGGGGCAUUUGUAUUUAACUGUCAGAGGUGAAAUUCUUAGAUUUGUUAAAGACAAACUACUGCGAAAGA